Long non-coding RNA from Melitaea cinxia (Glanville fritillary), 126 nucleotides. RefSeq lists it as uncharacterized. The record is from RefSeq and is a predicted model, not a curated record. The transcript is spliced from 3 exons. Lineage: Eukaryota; Metazoa; Arthropoda; Insecta; Lepidoptera; Nymphalidae.
AACACUGCUUGAAAGCAGUAUUAUUUAACUGUGAUCUUCUGUAAGGUAGAGGUACUUCCCCAGUCGGCCCACCUCAGUAACGAUUACAAUCAGAAUUUAUAAUGAAAAGGAAAUGCCAAAAAAUGG